Long non-coding RNA from Ipomoea nil (Japanese morning glory), 229 nucleotides. RefSeq lists it as uncharacterized. The transcript has 2 exons. The record is from RefSeq and is a predicted model, not a curated record. Lineage: Eukaryota; Viridiplantae; Streptophyta; Magnoliopsida; Solanales; Convolvulaceae.
UAAACUUAUAGGAUAUACUCUGCAGGGUUAUUAUAAGAUUUCUGUAGCUAAUGAAUUUGAAUGAUUAUAAAAGCAAAUUGAGCAAUUUUACCUUUCGAUUUCGCAGAUAAUUAUGUUGUAGUAUUGUGAUGCCGUUUGGGAGUUGAGCCGUAAAGAAACACAAGCACAACACAACACCGAGAGGGAAGACCCCGGGCGAAAAAGAUCCCGUGCGAUCCCCCCUCAGAAC